Gasterosteus aculeatus aculeatus (three-spined stickleback) is the source of this 2789-nucleotide long non-coding RNA. The record is from Ensembl. NCBI's taxonomy places the organism in Eukaryota, Metazoa, Chordata, Actinopteri, Perciformes, Gasterosteidae.
ACCACCAGAUAGAUCCACCAUCAGAUAGAUCCACCACCAGAUAGAACCACCAUCCACAGAAGCCCGUGGGGAGGGAAAGCACAUAGAAGAAGGUAAUGCUGGUUUAUAAUGACAGCAACAGUAAUAUGAGUCAUGUUUAAAAUAUGAAUAAUGAUGAUGAUGAUGAUGAUGAUGAUGAUGGCAGCAGCAGGUAUCAGCAGGGCCACGGCAGGACCAGGAUCCAGAAGCUCUUUAAGAUACGAUGUCUCACCAGCAAGUGCCUUGUAGGUGAGGAGAAGUACCUUAACAUCUAUUAUUGAUUUAACAGGGAGCUAGUGCAGAGAAGUUAAUACAGGAGUGAUAUGAUCCCUUUUCUUAGUUCCUGUUAAUACACCUGCUGCAGCAUUCUGAAUCAACUGGAGAGGCUGAAGAGAUUUACAAGAGCAGCCUGAUGACAAAGGUUGAAUCCACUGAUUCUCCAGAGGAGUUUGGUGAGUCCGUGUGAGCAUUAAAGCUCUACAUCUGCAGCUCACUUUCCUCCUCUGGGUCCGGAGGAGUAUUUAUUGAUGCGUAUGAUGAUGUAUUUUAGUUCCAUCAGGUCCUUUCUUCAUCUGUACUUUGACUCAUGUUUGCUGCUAUAAUGUUUACACAUGGAAUCCAUAAAGUAAACUCUUAUUUUUUAGGAAGCCUCACUGAACAUCCGGUUGUCGCGCAUGGAAACAACUUGAGAAGCAGGAGAAUGACGUCAGAGGGGAAAGUUUCAGCUGCAGCUGCUAACAAUUAAAAAAACAAGAAAGAAAAAGAAGGACAGCGCCCUCUGAUGGCUCAAGGACAGCAGCACAAGGAGACAGAGACACAAGAAAAGAAAGGGACACAUACAUAGAGACAGGAGACAGGAAGACAAGGAGACAGCGACAAAGCGAGACAAAGAGACAAUAAAACAAUGAAACAAGGGGACAAGGAGACAGAGAAGCAAGAAGAUUGAGAGGGAGAUAAAGAUAAACAGACAAGAAGACAACGAGAAUGAGACACCAGGAGACAGGAACAAGAUGAAGAGACAAAGGGGACAGACAAAAAGGCAAAGGGACAGAAGACAAGGUGACAGAGAGACACAUAGACAGAUAGAAGGCAAUAGAGAGAUAAGGCAAUGGAGACAAAGAGACAGAGACACAUUGAAACAAGGAAACAAAAGGAUAUGGAAACAAGAAGACAAGGAACAAGGAGACAGAAAGACAAAGGGACAAGGAGAAAGAGAGAUACUCAGAGAUAAGGAAGCAAGUGGACAAAGAGACGUGGCCCACCUUCGACCCCAGGGGACACCAUGACUGGACUCUCGCCUCGUCCACCUGCUGCAGACACAUUUCCCCCUGUUGAUUAAUAUAUAAAAGAGGAGAAAGAGUACAGAGAAACCAGGAGAUGAGGACCAGGAGACAGAGAGACACGGCUACAGUUGUUGUAUGUGUCCCUUUGUUCUUGUGUCUGUCUCUUUGUAGUUGUUUUUCUCAGUUACUUUGGUACAUUUCUUGAAUCAUUCUUGACAUUUACAAAACAGCACGUGUAUUUCUCCAAACACUUCAUACAACUAGCAAAACACCUCGGACUCAGCAACAUUUAUUACCAAAAUUGGAUUACCUGCAAAAGCCAGUCUCUUGCUCAAAUCCUUCCGUUCAUCUCUCAAGAGUAAAUACGUGUGUCGCUGAACAUGCAAAUUGUAAGUUACACUUUAGUGUGUGUGGGAGAUUGAUUGCAAGAGACUGGACAAGAAGGAAUUUGUCAUAGUGUUGAAUCCAGCCUCUGCUGUGAUGUCAUCAUAUGCUGCAUCCUCUGUGCACGUGGCUGAUACACUUUCCAUCUCCAGGAGAGAACAAUUCCUCCAUGGAGUUUAGGAAUGGGGAGGAGAGUGAGAGGAACUUCAUCAGCAUCCUGUUGUGAGUCACAAACCAUCGCCUGAUGAUGUUGGUCUUUUUUUCCCUUUUCUUUUUGCUAGUUUAUCUGUCUCUCGUUGGUCGACAUACAUCAGAUCUGACAUGAGAUCAUGAAGCUUAACUCGGCCCAUUUCUGACAGAAUAAAUAAAUGGCUCAAAAGGUGGAUAAAUAUAUAUUUUACCAAAGCAACAAACGUAUAUUCUAAUUGCAUGAUACUAACCAACGUAACUAAUCUAUUUAUAUUUAUUAGAAUAUUACUGUAAUUUCUUAAUUGUUUGAUUCCGGCUAAAACAAAGUUCAUCUGUUCUUGAUCCUCCAGCAGGAGGAGAUGUUUCUCUACAUUCUGGAGUCUAGUUACCAGGGUUUUGCCUAAGAAACAUGAUGAAACUCACGGACACACACACAAUUGUUGAGACACACAAAGACCCCGAAAAACCCACUUGAGCGCACACACACAAACACACACACAUGUGCAUGCACAGAAAGGCCAAACUUUACUGAUUUUUAGUUUAUUCCUUCAGGGGCCGUCACCGACAGGUGAACCAUCAGGUGUCCCAUCAGUUAUCCCACCACGUAUCCCAUUAGGUGAACCAUCAGGUGUCCCAUCAGUUAUCCCACCAUGUAUCCCAUGAGGUGAACCAUCAGGUGUCCCAUCAGUUAUUCCACCACGUAUCCCAUCAGGUGAACCAUCUGUGUCCCAUCAGUUAUCCCACCACAUAUCCCAUUAGGUGAACCAUCUGUGUCCCAUCAGUUAUCCCACCACAUAUCCCAUUAGGUGAACCAUCAGGUGUCCCAUCAGUUAUCCCACCAUGUAUCCCAUUAGCUGAACCAUCAGGUGUCCCAUCAGUUAUCCCACCACGUAUCCCAUUAGCUGAACCAUCAGG